Molecule: non-coding RNA, 257 nt
Organism: Pelobates cultripes (western spadefoot toad)
Lineage: Eukaryota; Metazoa; Chordata; Amphibia; Anura; Pelobatidae
Source: the annotation of a GenBank genome assembly
GUUGCUUUAAACUUUUUGCUCCAUCGUAAACUGUCAGUAUAUUAAUAUCGGCAGACAUUUUGUGUUAAGACAGAAAAUAAAAGUGUAUAUUGCCAGUAACACUUAGAAUAGAAGUGACUCCAUUUUUGUCUAAGACAAACACAAAAUUUCUCUCUGUAACUCUAUUCAUUCAAGUCUGAGCUAAGGAAUGCGUUAUGUAAACAAGAUAAGUGAUAAGGCAUGAUGUCUAAAAGCAGACGGGGAAGUGGAAUACUAAC